UUUGUGUGAUGAACUAAACUUACACCAUCUUUCGACUGAGCAUAAACGUUGAUGCUAUACAAGUUUUCACUGAUUCCAAUU
This 81-nucleotide small nucleolar RNA is filed under the name Drosophila grimshawi. The record is from RNAcentral. Lineage: Eukaryota; Metazoa; Arthropoda; Insecta; Diptera; Drosophilidae.